This 73-nucleotide transfer RNA is filed under the name Dipodomys ordii (Ord's kangaroo rat). It matches the Rfam family "tRNA". Rfam says of the family: Transfer RNA (tRNA) molecules are approximately 80 nucleotides in length. The record is from Rfam by way of RNAcentral. Lineage: Eukaryota; Metazoa; Chordata; Mammalia; Rodentia; Heteromyidae.
GGGGAUGUGGCUCAAUUGGUAGAGUAUCCACCUAGCAAGUGUGAGGCCCUGAGUUCAAAACCCAGUACCUCUU